GAAACGGUGUAUUUUUUAUUUUUUUUUAAUAUAUAUAUAAAAAGACUAACAAUAUAACUUCGUAUUUCGAUUUUUUUUCCGAACAUAUAUUUUUUUGAAUAAUUAUUAUUUUAAAUUCACCAAGCACGGUUACUCUGAUCCACACUAUAACACGGUAGGUUGCGGUACACUACCAUUCGCAGAACAACACGAAGAUGAAAAAUAAUCCGAAGAAGAAAACCUGCGCUCCAGGAGGUGUCCUCAAUGGAAGAGUUGUGACUCUUCGACCUACCUACACAUACCCACAGACAUGCCUUCACCGAGGUUUCAUUGAAACAGAGUAGAUGUUAAGCAACAGAAAUGAAAUCACAAAGGAAACCAAGUCGAAGCCUGAUGACAUCAGCAAUCGUCUCCUCAUCGCUGCCUGGUGAAGUGAUCGGCCUGUGUGACGAGAGCGUGGACCGGUGUGCGGACCUAAGACAACAAGACAUCCCUCCCAAUGACUUCAAACAAGAGGCUGUCGUGACUGCAGACAAAAGACAAGCAAGGACCUUGCUGGAAAAUCAUCUCGGGUAGACAGGAACCUUCUGCUUGAACAAGUACUGGGACAAGAACCGUCCAUCAAACGACUGAAGCCUUCAGAAUGGACUGGUGGCGCAGAGACUUCUCCGGGAGUCCUGAAUACAACAAGAGAUGAACGAGGGACCAGCCAAGCUGCUAUUUAGUCCAGGAUUUUGGUGGCAGAGUCCCCGAUGGCACUUGGACUGGAAGCCGACCUGCAUGUGGAGUCAAAAAGUAAAAGCAGGUCCAAGCUUGGAGAUCUACUUCACCUUUAGCUUGAACACAACUGCACAAGAACCAUCUUUGCAUCGAACAACUGAAGCCUUCACAGUGGACUGGUGGCACAGAGACUUCUCCGGGAGACCUGAACACAACAAGAGAUGAACGAGGGACCAGCCAAGCUCCUAUUUAGUAAGUUUAUUUGCAUGUCAACAUUCAAGAUUAAGCAGGUGCAGGAUCUUGGUGGCCGAGUCCCCGAUGGCACUUGGACUGUGAUGGCAUUCCGACCUGCAUGUGGAGUCAAAAAGAAAAAGCAGGUGCCAAGCUUGGAGAUCUACUUCACCAGUUGAUCCAUGACCAGGUUCUCCACGGAUCCUUACGCGCCAUCUGGUGGACGUGAGCAGCAAGAACAUGCAAGUGUCCAGGAGCGAGAAGCCGUUUUGUUUUUUAUACCACCAAUGUGCAUCUCGGCUUUCUGAAGUCCAUCAAGAGGCUGUCGUGACUGCAGACGGCAAAAGAAAAAGACAAGAAAGCUUACUGCUUGAAAGUCAUCUCAGGUGUCCUUACCCUCCUUCAGUUUCAUCUGCAGCGUGUUCUUCCUGGGGUGAUACAAGAGGUCAACACUGACAGACUUUACCACCAGUGGGAGCAGGGCAGAGCUGGACAACUCGUCAGUGACGGCCUGAAAGACAACAAAAUUAGCGGUCGACUUCUCCCAAUUCAACGUGACAUUUUCUUGACAUGCUUUUCAGGAGUAGACUCAAAAAAUAAAAAAUAAAUAAAAGUCUUAAACCUUGUCCCAAACGUCACAGGUGGUCAGCCAUUUUAAGGUCAAGUUGGCCAUUCUGUUGCAGAUUUGAACUUGUGGACAGAAAUGAGACAAUUAGAUAUACUUGAUUCAUUAUGUUUAAAUUAAAGAAAAAAAAGAACACGUUGGUCACUUUAGGUUGAAGUUUUGCACCUGUGGACAGAAAGGAGACAAUUAACACAAGCAUUUGAACGCCUGUCUUUCAUUCUGUUGGAUUGUGAAUAUGUACAAGUUUCGUCCAGAUGCCGGAAAAGCUUUGAGCCAAUACUUGAAUGAUAAAGCGUGCAUUCAUUUCUCCUCCUAUAUACGCCAGAUAAAUGUGUUUUGGUCUCA
This is a long non-coding RNA of Phyllopteryx taeniolatus (common seadragon), 1900 nucleotides long. RefSeq lists it as uncharacterized. NCBI's taxonomy places the organism in Eukaryota, Metazoa, Chordata, Actinopteri, Syngnathiformes, Syngnathidae. The transcript is spliced from 9 exons. The record is from RefSeq and is a predicted model, not a curated record.